RNAcentral lists this ribosomal RNA (497 nucleotides) under uncultured bacterium. Its description in RNAcentral is "partial 16S ribosomal RNA". It matches the Rfam family "Bacterial small subunit ribosomal RNA", at positions 28 to 507 of the family's 1533-position model. The record is from RNAcentral.
GAUGAACGCUGGCGGCGUGCCUAAUACAUGCAAGUCGAGCGAACAGACGAGGAGCUUGCUCCUCUGACGUUAGCGGCGGACGGGUGAGUAACACGUGGAUAACCUACCUAUAAGACUGGGAUAACUUCGGGAAACCGGAGCUAAUACCGGAUAAUAUAUUGAACCGCAUGGUUCAAUAGUGAAAGACGGUUUUGCUGUCACUUAUAGAUGGAUCCGCGCCGCAUUAGCUAGUUGGUAAGGUAACGGCUUACCAAGGCAACGAUGCGUAGCCGACCUGAGAGGGUGAUCGGCCACACUGGAACUGAGACACGGUCCAGACUCCGACGGGAGGCAGCAGUAGGGAAUCUUCCGAAAUGGGCGAAAGCCUGACGGAGCAACGCCGCGUGAGUGAUGAAGGUCUUCGGAUCGUAAAACUCUGUUAUUAGGGAAGAACAAAUGUGUAAGUAACUAUGCACGUCUUGACGGUACCUAAUCAGAAAGCCACGGCUAACUACGUG